Molecule: ribosomal RNA, 253 nt
Filed under: uncultured bacterium
Lineage: Bacteria
Description: partial 16S ribosomal RNA
Rfam family: Bacterial small subunit ribosomal RNA
Source: RNAcentral
UACGUAGGCAGCGAGCGUUGUUCGGAGUUACUGGGCGUAAAGAGUGCGUAGGCGGUUUUCUAAGUUUGGUGUGAAAUCUCCCGGCUUAACUGGGAGGGUGCGCCGAAGACUGGAAGGCUAGAGUAUGGGAGAGGUAAGCGGAAUUCCUGGUGUAGCGGUGAAAUGCGUAGAUAUCAGGAGGAACACCUGCGGUGUAGACGGCUUACUGGACCAUAACUGACGCUGAGGCACGAAAGCGUGGGGAGCAAACAGG